CAUCUCCGGGGGUAGAGCACUGUUUCGGCUAGGGGGCCAUCCCGGCUUACCAACCCGAUGCAAACUGCGAAUACCGGAGAAUGUUAUCACGGGAGACACACGGCGGGUGCUAACGUCCGUCGUGAAGAGGGAAACAACCCAGACCGCCAGCUAAGGUCCCAAAGUCAUGGUUAAGUGGGAAACGAUGUGGGAAGGCCCAGACAGCCAGGAUGUUGGCUUAGAAGCAGCCAUCAUUUAAAGAAAGCGUAAUAGCUCACUGGUCGAGUCGGCCUGCGCGGAAGAUGUAACGGGGCUAAACCAUGCACCGAAGCUGCGGCAGCGACACUGUGUGUUGUUGGGUAGGGGAGCGUUCUGUAAGCCUGUGAAGGUGUGUCGUGAGGCAUGCUGGAGGUAUCAGAAGUGCGAAUGCUGACAUAAGUAACGAUAAAGCGGGUGAAAAGCCCGCUCGCCGGAAGACCAAGGGUUCCUGUCCAACGUUAAUCGGGGCAGGGUGAGUCGACCCCUAAGGCGAGGCCGAAAGGCGUAGUCGAUGGGAAACGGGUUAAUAUUCCCGUACUUGGUGUUACUGCGAAGGGGGGACGGAGAAGGCUAUGUUGGCCGGG
RNAcentral lists this ribosomal RNA (602 nucleotides) under Salmonella enterica. Its description in RNAcentral is "partial 23S ribosomal RNA". It matches the Rfam family "Bacterial large subunit ribosomal RNA", at positions 891 to 1495 of the family's 2925-position model. The record is from RNAcentral. RNAcentral also lists the same sequence under 1 other name. Lineage: Bacteria; Pseudomonadati; Pseudomonadota; Gammaproteobacteria; Enterobacterales; Enterobacteriaceae.